UGGGGAAUAUUGCACAAUGGAGGGAACUCUGAUGCAGCGACGCCGCGUGAGGGAAGAAGGUUUUCGGAUUGUAAACCUCUGUCUUCGGGGACGAUAAUGACGGUACCCGAGGAGGAAGCCACGGCUAACUACGUGCCAGCAGCCGCGGUAAUACGUAGGUGGCAAGCGUUGUCCGGAAUUACUGGGUGUAAAGGGAGCGCAGGUGGGAUGGAAAGUUGGAUGUUUAAUCUACGGGCUCAACUCGUAUCAGCAUUCAAAACUAUCAUUCUUGAGUGGAGUAGAGGCAGGCGGAAUUCCAGGUGUAGCGGUGGAAUGCGUAGAUAUCUGGAGGAACACCAGUGGCGAAGGCGGCCUGCUGGGCUCUAACUGACACUGAGGCUCGAAAGCGUGGGUAGCAAACAGG
Molecule: ribosomal RNA, 403 nt
Filed under: uncultured bacterium
Lineage: Bacteria
Description: bacterial SSU rRNA
Rfam family: Bacterial small subunit ribosomal RNA
Source: RNAcentral